Molecule: unclassified non-coding RNA, 203 nt
Filed under: rhizosphere metagenome
Description: partial ribosomal RNA internal transcribed spacer region
Source: RNAcentral
GUAGGUGAACCUGCGGAGGGAUCAUUACCAGAGAUGGCGGGCCCCCGGGCCCCCCGUCCCCAACCCUUUGUUGACCAAACCACUUUUGCCUCGGGGGCAGAGCGGCCUCCGCCGCCCCCGGUGGACCAACCAACCCUGUCUCUGUACGUCGGAGUCUUUUGAUGAAUAUAUGAAAACUUUUAACAACGGAUCUCUUGGUUCUG